UGUGAAAGAUCUCUAUCAAGCCUCACAGAGAAUUUGAGGCAGCUGGCAGUUAUCAGCUGAAGCAGGUAGUCAGUAGAAGUGCAAAAGAUAAAUAGAUAAUUGAAAACCAAUCUGGAAACCUGGGAGAGAUAAUAAGCCUCUCUUCUAGAAGGGAGCCAACAACUCAGAUGUAGUAAGAGACAUUUCAACCUGGUUCUGCCUGCCCAUCAACAUAUGCACCUCAACAUAAGGACUUAAAACUCUGUUGAAAAUAUUUUCCUCCCGAAGUUCCUCACUUCAAAUGGAUGCAUUUUAGAGCUUCUCUUAUCUGAUGUCAUGAUCUUUUUCUACUGAAAUGGGAUUGCUUCAUCUCUACAACAUAACAAUGGCCAUGAACAAAGACUGGUUCAUAGGUGUUCUUUUCUGCUUCCAAGGAAAAGGAUGGGCAAAGGAGGAGCAUAAUUUGCAUUGCCUUUCUUCAGAAGGGAGUUUACAGCUCUAGUCUUGAGUUAAACAGCCAUUUAUGCUGAAGAACAUGUAGCCCAGAGCUCUGCCUGUCAUCUUU
Molecule: long non-coding RNA, 544 nt
Filed under: Manacus vitellinus (golden-collared manakin)
Lineage: Eukaryota; Metazoa; Chordata; Aves; Passeriformes; Pipridae
Description: lncRNA (ENSMVIG00005005359.1)
Source: RNAcentral